GGCCAGACUCCUACGGGAGGCAGCAGUGGGGAAUAUUGCACAAUGGGGGGAACCCUGAUGCAGCGACGCCGCGUGAGUGAAGAAGUAUUUCGGUAUGUAAAGCUCUAUCAGCAGGGAAGAAAAUGACGGUACCUGAAGAAGAAGCCCCGGCUAACUACGUGCCAGCAGCCGCGGUAAUACGUAGGGGGCAAGCGUUAUCCGGAUUUACUGGGUGUAAAGGGGGCGCAGACGGCGAUGCAAGCCAGGAGUGAAAGCCCGGGGCCCAACCCCGGGACUGCUCUUGGAACUGCGUGGCUGGAGUGCAGGAGGGGCAGGCGGAAUUCCUGGUGUAGCGGUGAAAUGCGUAGAUAUCAGGAGGAACACCGGUGGCGAAGGCGGCCUGCUGGACUGCAACUGACGUUGAGGCCCGAAAGCGUGGGGAGCAAACAGGAUUAGAUACCCGAGUAAG
This 448-nucleotide ribosomal RNA is filed under the name uncultured bacterium. RNAcentral describes it as "partial 16S ribosomal RNA". It matches the Rfam family "Bacterial small subunit ribosomal RNA", at positions 329 to 793 of the family's 1533-position model. The record is from RNAcentral.